AUGUCCAGCUGCUCGUCCUCCUCCGCCUCUUCUCCAAGUGUCCAUCCUAUCGCAACUCAGCUUCAGAAUUGGGUGCGUAUGAAAAAUGCAAUGGAGGUUAUGUUAAUUCCUAGAGUUUUAUAUGUUCUUUUGUCUCGUGGUGAUUACUUCGAAUGGCUAUGUGAGGUUUUUCAGUUUUUGACUCUAUGCAAUUCUUGGUGCAAGGGCCCCCGCUUCCUUGUUGUGACUUGCAGCCUUACUGGCCCUUCUGCAGGUAUGUACAAGCGCCUCUGGCAUACCCUCGAGAAAGAAAGCGAAGGAUAA
This 303-nucleotide ribosomal RNA is filed under the name Triticum aestivum (bread wheat). RNAcentral's name for it is "partial small subunit ribosomal RNA". Lineage: Eukaryota; Viridiplantae; Streptophyta; Magnoliopsida; Poales; Poaceae. The record is from RNAcentral.